This 469-nucleotide ribosomal RNA is filed under the name uncultured bacterium. RNAcentral describes it as "partial 16S ribosomal RNA". It matches the Rfam family "Bacterial small subunit ribosomal RNA", at positions 27 to 507 of the family's 1533-position model. The record is from RNAcentral.
GGACGAACGCUGGCGGCGUGCUUAACACCUGCACGUCGAACGGAAAGGCCCUGCUUUUGUGGGGUGCUCGAGUGGCGAACGGGUGAGUAACACGUGAGUAACCUGCCCUUGACUUUGGGAUAACUUCAGGAAACUGGGGCUAAUACCGGAUAGGAGCUCCUGCUGCAUGGUGGGGGUUGGAAAGUUUCGGCGGUUGGGGAUGGACUCGCGGCUUAUCAGCUUGUUGGUGGGGUAGUGGCUUACCAAGGCUUUGACGGGUAGCCGGCCUGAGAGGGUGACCGGCCACAUUGGGACUGAGAUACGGCCCAGACUCCUACGGGAGGCAGCAGUGGGGAAUAUUGCACAAUGGGCGGAAGCCUGAUGCAGCAACGCCGCGUGCGGGAUGACGGCCUUCGGGUUGUAAACCGCUUUCGCCUGUGACGAAGCGUGAGUGACGGUAAUGGGUAAAGAAGCACCGGCUAACUACGUG